UGUAAAUUUUGCCAAUCGUGGGCGAAGUGUGGGCGUAAACCAAACACCACCCCCCUCUCUUUCCCAAAUCCUCAUUUUUCUCCUCAAGAUCUCACCGCGGCGGUUGAUGCCGGCCCCCGCUCCCGCUCCGGUGCUCGCAGCUCAAGGUUCGUUUGGUUCUCUUCCAUGCCCCCGCUCCUCCCCCCAUAGCCUCCGCUGCCGACCACUCCGGCGCAUCCUCUGACAAGGCACGGCCGACCUCGACGCCUCCCUGCUGUGCGCUCCGACGGCCGCCUCCGGCAAGCUCCAACCCGACCGUUUCUGCUCUAUCCUGCUGCCAUGGCAAGGCGGCAGAGGAGCUGCGCGCCCGUUCCGGCUCCAACCACAAGCGCCGGGCCUGCAGCACACGUCGCCCCUGACUGCUGCUGAAGAGGCGGACAAGGACCAGCCGAUCCAUGCGUGCAGCAUCGACGGCAUAGACUUCGCCCCCCACGACAACGCCAUCCUCCGCGCCCUACUCUGCUAUACCGCUGGCCUCUGUGCGUGCUCUCCGUUCUUCUGCCCCUUCUCGGUAUAUUGUUGAGUAAGCAUUUUGCUCCUUGAAUUCUAGCAGUGUUAGUCGAGAAUAGCUUGAUCUGUGAACUUUUCUAUUGUUAAGCAUGAAUUGCAUGAUGCUGUUGUAGUUAAAAUAUCACCAGUAGAGUUCACCUCGAUGCGAAUUGGAUUGUUCCAGUAAAGUUCACCUUGAUGAAGAAAGGCUUGUUUGCCAGAUGCAUAUGAUACAAUUAUUAUUGGGGCCUGAACCUAUUGCUAGUCAUCUCUAAGCAUCAUCAUGGUUUUUUACAUGUCCGGCAUCAGCUAUGUGGGGAUUUGAAGAUUUUUUUUUGUAAUAAGGAGCUUAUAUACCUGUUUUAUGCUAAGAGAUCCAAGCUUUUUUAAUGUUACAAUGGUCUUUUUCUUGGCCAGAAUAUAGCACAACAGAAUCUGAUGAAUUUGAGAAGCAAGAUGGUGGUGACUUUACUUGUGAAGAAGAGUCUACGUUUUUGAUGCUUCAGACUACUUCACUGUAUCAAAGAGCAGAUCUUCAACAAUGUCAAUUUCUACAGAUUGUGGUGUACACAGUGAUACUAAGAUAGAUAACUCAGGUGGCCUGGAAAUUGUGAAAGUACAAAUGCAAGAUUCUGACAACAUGACCUCAAAUCAAACGAUCAUUUCUCUGUUUUGUUUUUGCAUCUCUAGGAUGUUCACUGUUUAUUGAUUAAAUUCUUCAGAUUAGUAAAUAUAAUCAUCAGUUACUUCUCUUCUUUGUGACCACAUUCGUGAAGAAGACUAAAACAAUAGGUGUUGGCUGUUGAGGUUGAUUGAACUCUGCCACAAAAAAUGUAUUGUUUUGUCUGCUAGAUUUCUUCUGAUCUAAAAAUAUCCCCUGUUGAGUUCGAAUAAGAAGCUUAUAUGCCUGUUUUAUGCUGAGAGAUCCAGUAUUUGAUUAUUUAAUCAUCGAAUUUUCGACUGAUACUCCUUGAUUUUUAUUAGUUUUUAUCCUGAAUGAUGAAGGCUGUCUCUCAACACAUAUUUGCUAAAUUGUUACCCUUUGUUGCUGAGCAUGAAAUAGGUGAAUGCAAUAUGCAAUUCAGACAGGCUAAGCUCUUUACACUUCCUCUCCAGGUCAAGUGGUGUCUUUAUUGACCUGUAUCGACUGCAUGGUGCAUCUGUUGAGUAUCCUGUGAACAGUCUGUUGUUAUGCAUGUGAUGAUGGAACUGCAAUGCUGAUUUUUGACUCAAGGUCUUCGAGGAUUGCAUUCUCAUCCAUGAUGCCACUAAGGAAGUCCUCCAUGUCGCCUACAACAUUCUCAAUCUGGCGUGCUCAUCGAAGGUGAUGCAAGAGGUGAAGCAGUUCCUUCUCUGGCAAGUGAUGCAUGUGUGUUUGAUGCUAGUUUUAUUGUUGGUAAAGUUAUUGCAUCUGGACACGGCAUCGCGAUGGACUCAGCGCACGGGGUGUUCCUCCUAGCUGCAUCGUUUGCCCUGCGCUUGGCUAGCAGUGCUGCCCUCUGCUCUUCGCUUUUGCCUUUUGUAGAUGAGCGUUGUUGUCGGGCUGCUCUUCUACUCUCAGUAAUCUCCUUCUUUUGCUCCGCUGUCAAACUAUUUUGUUUAGCUCUAUAUUCGGCUCUUCUGCGUGUAUUAAUCUCCUCCUUUUGCUGGGUUGUCAAACUAUUUCGUUGGGCUCUAUCACGUUCACGUCUUGUUUGAUUUUCACCACUUCUUCUUCUUCGUGCAUUAAUCUCCUCCUUUUCCUGUGUUGACAGAUUUUUUCGUCGAGCUCUAUCCCGUUCACGUCUUGUUUGAUUUCUAUCUUGCGACAUGUUUGCAAUUGGCUGUGACAUGUUUGCAAUUGGCUGCCUUUGAUCUGUCAUUAGCGUAGCUGAACAGCAAAUUUGACAUGAAAUUAGUGACUUUACAUGUAUAAACAUGAUACAGCUUUGAAGAGGAAAUUAGUGACUUUACAAGUAUAUAAACAUCGCCUUUGAAUACACUUUUUUGUCUUUACAAGUAUAUAAACAUCGCCUUUGAAAUAACUAAGUUUUA
Molecule: long non-coding RNA, 2562 nt
Organism: Lolium rigidum
Lineage: Eukaryota; Viridiplantae; Streptophyta; Magnoliopsida; Poales; Poaceae
Exons: 3
Source: RefSeq, a predicted model, not a curated record